CCUACGGGCGGCAGCAGUGAGGAAUAUUGGUCAAUGGGCGUAAGCCUGAACCAGCCAAGUCGCGUGAGGGAUGAAGGUUCUAUGGAUCGUAAACCUCUUUUAUAAGGGAAUAAAGUGUGGGACGUGUCCUAUUUUGUAUGUACCUUAUGAAUAAGGAUCGGCUACCUCCGUGCCAGCAGCCGUGGUAAUACGGAGGAGCCGAGCGUUAUCCGGAUUUAUUGGGUUUAAAGGGUGCGUAGGCGGCCUUUUAAGUCAGCGGUGAAAGUCUGUGGCUCAACCAUAGAAUUGCCGUUGAAACUGGGGGGCUUGAGGAUGUUUGAGGAAGGCGGAAUGCGUGGUGUAGCGGUGAAAUGCUUAGAUAUCACGCAGAACCCCGAUUGCGAAGGCAGCCUGCCAAGCCAUGACUGACGCUGAUGCACGAAAGCGUGGGGAUCAAACAGGAUUAGAUACCCCUGUAGUC
This 460-nucleotide ribosomal RNA is filed under the name uncultured bacterium. RNAcentral describes it as "partial 16S ribosomal RNA". It matches the Rfam family "Bacterial small subunit ribosomal RNA", at positions 338 to 795 of the family's 1533-position model. The record is from RNAcentral.